This 72-nucleotide transfer RNA is filed under the name Pseudomonadota bacterium. RNAcentral describes it as "Proteobacteria bacterium (marine metagenome) tRNA-Val". It matches the Rfam family "tRNA". From Rfam's summary of the family: Transfer RNA (tRNA) molecules are approximately 80 nucleotides in length. Their secondary structure includes four short double-helical elements and three loops (D, anti-codon, and T loops). Lineage: Bacteria; Pseudomonadati; Pseudomonadota. The record is from RNAcentral.
GGGCGAUUAGCUCAGUGGUAGAGCACCUGGAUCACAACCAGGGGGUCACUGGUUCAAAACCAGUAUCGCCCA